This 3571-nucleotide long non-coding RNA is filed under the name Triticum aestivum (bread wheat). RNAcentral's name for it is "long non-coding RNA (TAES_LNC015729)". The record is from RNAcentral. Lineage: Eukaryota; Viridiplantae; Streptophyta; Magnoliopsida; Poales; Poaceae.
UGCAUCUCCAUCCUCUAUCCAAUCCCCUCCCUUUCCCUUCCCUUCCUCCAUUCCGUCUCGAGCGAGAGCCUCCGCCACACCAUCUCCCAAUUCAUCUCGAUCUCGUCCUCUCCGCACCCUGCUCCACGCAAGCCCCGCUUCCACCGUCGGCCGGUGUUCGUUGCGCUGGCCGCUGCUGCAACUGCAUCCAAACGAAGUUGCUUCCUCGUGGGCUGGAGUAGGAGGCUUUGAGGUGAUGUGCAAGGGGAGCUGCAAGACACAUCUGGUGGGCCUGCAAGCAGCAGAGGCAAGCGUUGAGAAUGGCGACGGCCGCCGCCGCUAGCCGCCGACGCCCAGCUGCACCGACGAGGCGGUCUGCAACCAGCAAGACGGCGACAACACCCCCAGCUAAGUGCUACAACUACGGCAGUAAGAAGCUGGGACCAGCACCUAAAAUUGGUACUACCAAUGUUUUUUGGUUUCGUCCCAACUUUACUGUUUUUUUGCUACCACCGCUCUUUAGGAUUGCUGGAACUAGCUCCAAAUUUUGUUACCACCGGCGCUUUUGAUUUUGCUGGAACCAAUGUCAAUUUUUGCUAUCACGGGCGUUCUAGUUUUCUAGAACCAGGUCCAUUUUUUGCUACAAUUAGACAUUUUUUCUUUUGCUGGAACAAACGUCCAAUUUUUAGAAUUUUGUUUCCAAUGAUGUUUUGUUUUGCUGGAACCACUUCAAUUUUUGCUACCUCCGGUGUUUCGAUUGUUGGAACAUUUCCCAAGUUUUUGCAUUUUUGCUUCCAUCGUUUUUUAUUUUUGCUGGAACCAACCUCAAAAUUUGCUACCACCAUAUCACGAUUUUUGCUGGAACCAUGUGCCAAUUUUACUGCAACCGGCAAUUUCUUUUUGCUGGAACCUGCAAUGGGACCAGCAUGAUGGGGAGAUGCAUCAUUGGUUUUUGCUGGCACCACAACAGGGGAGUUGCAUCUUUGAGUUUUGUUGGAACCGGCAACGUGGAUAGCAACAGCCGUCAUUUUUUUUUUUUUGCUACAAUCAUCGAUGGGACGGGAACUACUGGAGAACUUUUUAUUGCUGGAACCGCAUAGAAAAAAGCUACAACGGGCGUCGUAUUUUGCUACAACCAUGAUGCCGGUGUGAAGAGCGGAUUACGUGGGCACUUUUUUGCUGCAACCACAUAGCAAAAAGCUACAACGGUUGUUGCAUUUUUCUACGCCCAUGACCACCGGUGCUGGAAGAGCAUUCCACGCCGGAAUCUUUUUUGCUACAACCGCGUUCCGUAGAUGCUGGAACUAGCAACACUUGAUGCUGGAAGCAGCUGCCCACCCCCACGGGCGCUACGAGCUUAGUGACGUGCGAGGAGAGAUCACCGGCGAGGGUGCUGCAAAUGGCGGCAACGCGGUGUUCUGACCAUGGCGAUUUGGUUUGAAGCGGCGGCGGCGGUUGCUAUGGUGAGGGCAAGCCGUGUUUUGAUGGCGCUCUCGCGUUUUCUCUAUGGCCGCCGGCGGAGCGAGUCCGUGGGAGGGAGUGGGUCCAUUUUUUUUUUAGGGGGGCGAGGGGGAGGGGAGGGGAGGAGGCGAGCUGUUGCCAGCCGCGGCGAGCUCGUCGGGAGCGCGGGCACAACAACGACGAGGAAGAUUUGGCUGGACGAAAGGAUCUCAAGAAAGAAGAUGGGUCAAAAUGGAAGACCAGAUCGGAUAGCUACACUAGGCCACAUCGAGCGGUCGCGAGCGGACCGGCCCAAAGUUUCGGCCGGUGCACCGGCGCUUAUUAGUGCCUUUGAUCUCAAUUUGGUAAUCAACAUGGAAUUUGGGCGGAUGAUGCACUGUUAGCCUAUCCUGGUCCCACGUGCCAGAAUAGGAAACGGGACGAGUUAAACCCAAAGCCCCCCUCGGCCUCCAUGUCAUCCCGAAAAAUAAAAUAAAAAAUCCAUCCCUGCCCUCUCGCCUCCCUUCUCCCACCCCUCUCCACUCCGAGCCCUGCCUCGCCGCUGAGGCUCUGCUUCGCCGCCGACCUCCUUCGCCCGUUCAACGCGCAUUGGCGCACGAAGACAAGAAACUUCCGCGCUGCGCCCCUCACCGUCGACCGCCGGGAAGCCGUCCUCUCGCGCUCGAAAGCAAGAAGGGUUCUUGGCUGCCAGCCUUGGCCAAGAACGCAAGAACCGACUCAAGAACGCCAUGAGGCGUGCGGAGGAGCCAGGGGAGCACCAGGGCGCGCCAGCUCGGUGGUGGUGGUGGCUGGCCUCGUCGCCGCGGCGCUGGCUCCGGUUCGUGCUUGUUCGGCGAUGGCGGCGGCGGUGGUGGUGGGUGGCCUCGCCGUCCCCGAUGCAGGAGGAAGCACCGGAGGCGAGUGGAUACGACGCAGCCGCCUCCCCACACAACGACGUGCUCGCCGCCGCCCUUCUCAACGGGUCGUCGCCAGCGCAUCUCCCUGCUCUCGAGGCCAACCUCGCCGCAUCGCUCGCCGGCGUGGAAUCCUCGGCAUCCACGCCAUCGCUGCCCCUGCUACAGGAGGGAGCACCGGGGCGCAGUGAUCACGGCACAGCCGCCUCCACGCGCAGCGACGCAUCCUCCCCAGCGCCUCUCCCUGCGCUCGGGGCCAACCUCGACGCAUCGCUCGCCAGCGUGGAGUCCUCGGCAUCCACGACCUCAGCGCUCCUGCUGCGGGAGGGAGUAGCGGAGGCGAGUGAGCACGGCACGGGCGCCUCCCUGCACAGCGACGUGCUCGUCGCCGCCGUCCUCAACGAUUCCCCGCCGUGCCAUCCGCAGGAGGGACCCAAGGCGAGUGGUCAUGGUGUGGCUGCGCCCCAACACACGGACCCGACCUCGCCUUCACCGCCGGAUAGUUGCGACGGCACGAUCAUCUCUCUUGAGGUAUGAAUCUUUGCUGUCAGUAAUCCAUCGUAGGAAAAUGUAAUUGACACUGAAUCUUUGCUGAAAGUUGGGAGUUUCGUCUGCUAUGUUAAGGAGAAUUGACACUGAAUCUAGUUUUUUCUGUAAUUAGGCUGCAAUAUUGAUAUCCAAAGUGAACGCAACUACGUUGAAAGCUAGUGUCACCACUCACCAGCAUACAUAGACUGCAAUAUUUAGCCUGCAACUACAUUGGAACAGUGAGUGAGAUUGACUGUUGGAAUAACUGAAUUUCAUCUCGUGCCCUUCUCACUUGCAGGUUUACUAUCUUCAGUAGUUCUAUCCUUUCCAGGCAUGUCCCCCUUUUUAGGUUGAUCACUAGGUUUUAGACAUGAUUGAGCAUUUUCUCCUGAUGAUGUUUGUCAUGUGUCUUCUCCCUGUCUCUUUGGAGUGCUUGGCCUUUGGCCUUUGUUUUAGCCUGAACUGAAGGUCCAAAUCCCUGCUGUCCUCGACGACUGCACCUCUGAUGUCCUAUCCCCUCUUCAGCACUUUUGAAUUUUGUUGAGCCUAAUAUUUGAAUUUUGAGUCACUAAUAUUUUCAUUUUGGCAGGAGGAGGUGGCAGUGGUGGUAGAGCAGUUGAGUGGCCACAGGGUGGCUGCAUCCCAACACACGGCCCCGACCUUGCCUUCACUGCCGGAUAGCUGCGACGGCGCGAUUAUCUGUCUUGAGG